GAUGAACGCUGGCGGCGUGCCUAAUACAUGCAAGUCGAGCGAACAGACGAGGAGCUUGCUCCUCUGACGUUAGCGGCGGACGGGUGGGUAACACGUGGAUAACCUACCUAUAAGACUGGGAUAACUUCGGGAAACCGGAGCUAAUACCGGAUAAUAUAUUGAACCGCAUGGUUCAAUAGUGAAAGACGGUUUUGCUGUCACUUAUAGAUGGAUCCGCGCCGCAUUAGCUAGUUGGUAAGGUAACGGCUUACCAAGGCGACGAUGCGUAGCCGACCUGAGAGGGUGAUCGGCCACACUGGAACUGAGACACGGUCCAGACUCCUACGGGAGGCAGCAGUAGGGAAUCGUCCGCAAUGGGCGAAAGCCUGACGGAGCAACGCCGCGUGAGUGAUGAAGGUCUUCGGAUCGUAAAACUCUGUUAUUAGGGAAGAACAAAUGUGUAAGUAACUAUGCACGUCUUGACGGUACCUAAUCAGAAAGCCACGGCUAACUACG
This 495-nucleotide ribosomal RNA is filed under the name uncultured bacterium. Its description in RNAcentral is "partial 16S ribosomal RNA". It matches the Rfam family "Bacterial small subunit ribosomal RNA", at positions 28 to 505 of the family's 1533-position model. The record is from RNAcentral.